This is a non-coding RNA of Schizophyllum amplum, 86 nucleotides long. NCBI's taxonomy places the organism in Eukaryota, Fungi, Basidiomycota, Agaricomycetes, Agaricales, Schizophyllaceae. The record is from the annotation of a GenBank genome assembly.
GCAUUAAUGGGGUAGUGGUAACCUGGGUCGUUGCCAUGGGACAGUCACUGUUCGACCCGCCGGGGGUUCGAUUCCCCCUUAAUGCA